This 452-nucleotide ribosomal RNA is filed under the name uncultured bacterium. RNAcentral describes it as "bacterial SSU rRNA". It matches the Rfam family "Bacterial small subunit ribosomal RNA", at positions 29 to 524 of the family's 1533-position model. The record is from RNAcentral.
AACGAACGCUGGCGGCAGGCCUAACACAUGCAAGUCGAACGCUCGUAGCAAUACGGGAGUGGCAGACGGGUGCGUAACGCGUGGGAACAUACCCUUUGGUUCGGAAUAACUCAGGGAAACUUGAGCUAAUACCGGAUACGCCCGAGAGGGGAAAGAUUUAUUGCCGAAGGAUUGGCCCGCGUCUGAUUAGCUUGUUGGUAGGGUAACGGCCUACCAAGGCGACGAUCAGUAGCUGGUCUGAGAGGAUGAUCAGCCACACUGGGACUGAGACACGGCCCAGACUCCUACGGGAGGCAGCAGUGGGGAAUAUUGGACAAUGGGCGCAAGCCUGAUCCAGCCAUGCCGCGUGAGUGAUGACGGCCCUAGGGUUGUAAAGCUCUUUUACCCGGGAAGAUAAUGACGGUACCGGGAGAAUAAGCCCCGGCUAACUUCGUGCCAGCAGCCGCGGUAAU